Molecule: long non-coding RNA, 272 nt
Organism: Dinoponera quadriceps
Lineage: Eukaryota; Metazoa; Arthropoda; Insecta; Hymenoptera; Formicidae
Exons: 3
Source: RefSeq, a predicted model, not a curated record
CGAGAACGAACAGAGCGAAGAAUUCUUGUGAAACACUUCUGGCAUUUACCUCGAUCAUUCAUCGUGCGAGAUACAUCGUUGUUAGACUUGCGUUGAUGUCUUCAAGGACACGCUCGUAAUCCUCUUUUUGUGACGACCCUGAGUUCUCGGUGUCGCGUCCGAAUUUUGCCGUCUGUCGAACAAAAUUGAGACGACACGUCAGGAUGCACAUUGACGCUUUCCCGCCUGCAAGAACCGUCCGGAUCGGUGAUCAUCACCGAAAUAGGAUUCGG